Molecule: ribosomal RNA, 255 nt
Filed under: uncultured bacterium
Lineage: Bacteria
Description: partial 16S ribosomal RNA
Rfam family: Bacterial small subunit ribosomal RNA
Source: RNAcentral
CACGUAGGGGGCAAGCGUUGUCCGGAUUUAUUGGGCGUAAAGAGCUCGUAGGCGGUUCGGUAAGUCGGGUGUGAAACCUCCAGGCUCAACCUGGAGACGCCACCCGAUACUGCUGUGACUAGAGUCUGGUAGGGGGGAUCUGGAAUUCCUGGUGUAGCGGUGGAAUGCGCAGAUAUCAGGAGGAACACCGGUGGCGAAGGCGGGAUCCUGGGCCAGUACUGACGCUGAGGAGCGAAAGCGUGGGGAGCAAACAGG